UACGUAGGGUGCAAGCGUUAAUCGGAAUUACUGGGCGUAAAGCGUGCGCAGGCGGUUCUGCAAGUCCGAUGUGAAAUCCCCGGGCUUAACCUGGGAAUGGCAUUGGUGACUGCACGGCUAGAGUGUGUCAGAGGGGGGUAGAAUUCCACGUGUAGCAGUGAAAUGCGUAGAGAUGUGGAGGAAUACCGAUGGCGAAGGCAGCCCCCUGGGAUAACACUGACGCUCAUGCACGAAAGCGUGGGGAGCAAACAGG
RNAcentral lists this ribosomal RNA (253 nucleotides) under uncultured bacterium. RNAcentral describes it as "partial 16S ribosomal RNA". It matches the Rfam family "Bacterial small subunit ribosomal RNA", at positions 524 to 776 of the family's 1533-position model. The record is from RNAcentral.